This is a non-coding RNA of Salvelinus namaycush (lake trout), 378 nucleotides long. NCBI's taxonomy places the organism in Eukaryota, Metazoa, Chordata, Actinopteri, Salmoniformes, Salmonidae. The record is from the annotation of a RefSeq genome assembly.
CUGACACAAGGCACAAUGAUGAUGUCACUGAUUCUACUGCUGUGGACACUGGGGCUCCUUGUUCAGGAAUCAUCAGGAGAUAUAAUUCUGACCCAUUCUCCUAAAUCUCAGUCUGUUAGUCCAGGAGAGAUUGUCUCUAUCAGCUGUACAGCCAGUUCAGAUAUUAGUAUUUAUCUCAACUGGUACCUGCAGAAACCUGGAGAAGCUCCUAAACUCCUGGUUUAUGAUGCUACAAACCGUCAGUCUGGGAUUCCAGGUCGUUUCAGUGGGAGUAGAUCUGGUAGUUCUUACACUCUGACCAUCAGUGGAGUCCUGGCUGAAGAUGCAGCAGAUUACUACUGUCAGCAGAGGAAAAGCUUUCCGUUCACACAGUGUUAG